This 175-nucleotide ribosomal RNA is filed under the name Epirinus obtusus. RNAcentral describes it as "partial 16S ribosomal RNA". The record is from RNAcentral. Lineage: Eukaryota; Metazoa; Arthropoda; Insecta; Coleoptera; Scarabaeidae.
UAGCAUAAUAAUUAGUUUUUUAAUUAAGAACUGGAAUGAAGGGUCCUACGAGAAAAAGACUGUCUCAAUUUAAUUUAAUUAGAAUUUUAUUUUUAAGUAAGAAAGCUUAAAUAAUUUUAAAAGACGAGAAGACCCUAUAGAGUUUUAUAUUUAGUACUUACUUUAAAAUUAAAAA